Molecule: ribosomal RNA, 459 nt
Filed under: uncultured bacterium
Lineage: Bacteria
Description: partial 16S ribosomal RNA
Rfam family: Bacterial small subunit ribosomal RNA
Source: RNAcentral
CCUACGGGUGGCAGCAGUGAGGAAUAUUGGUCAAUGGGCGGGAGCCUGAACCAGCCAAGCCGCGUGAGGGAAGAAGGUACAGCGUAUCGUAAACCUCUUUUGUCAGGGAGCAAAGGCCGGGACUAGUCGCCGUAUGAGGGUACCUGAAGAAAAAGCAUCGGCUAACUCCGUGCCAGCAGCCGCGGUAAUACGGAGGAUGCGAGCGUUAUCCGGAUUUAUUGGGUUUAAAGGGUGCGCAGGCGGCAGGUUAAGUCAGCGGUAAAAGUCCGAGGCUCAACCCCGUCGAGCCGUUGAAACUGGUGGGCUGGAGUGGGCGAGAAGUAUGCGGAAUGCGCGGUGUAGCGGUGAAAUGCUUAGAUAUCGCGCAGAACCCCGAUUGCGAAGGCAGCAUACCGGCUCUAAACUGACGCUGAGGCACGAAAGUGUGGGUAUCGAACAGGAUUAGAUACCCUGGUAGUC